This 383-nucleotide ribosomal RNA is filed under the name uncultured bacterium. RNAcentral describes it as "bacterial SSU rRNA". It matches the Rfam family "Bacterial small subunit ribosomal RNA", at positions 30 to 417 of the family's 1533-position model. The record is from RNAcentral.
AUUGAACGCUGGCGGCAGGCCUAACACAUGCAAGUCGAGCGAGAAAGCCUUCGGGUGAGUACAGCGGCGGACGGGUGAGUAACGCGUAGGAAUCUACCUGGUAGUGGGGGACAACAUGGGGAAACUCAUGCUAAUACCGCAUACGCCCUAUGGGGGAAAGCGGGGGACCUUCGGGCCUCGCGCUAUCAGAUGAGCCUGCGUAGGAUUAGCUUGUUGGUGAGGUAAAGGCUCACCAAGGCGACGAUCCUUAGCUGGUCUGAGAGGAUGAUCAGCCACACUGGAACUGAGACACGGUCCAGACUCCUACGGGAGGCAGCAGUGGGGGAAUAUUGCGCAAUGGGCGAAAGCCUGACGCAGCCAUGCCGCGUGUGUGAAGAAGGCCU